This 2655-nucleotide long non-coding RNA is filed under the name Numida meleagris (helmeted guineafowl). RNAcentral describes it as "lncRNA (ENSNMEG00000019140.1)". The record is from RNAcentral. Lineage: Eukaryota; Metazoa; Chordata; Aves; Galliformes; Numididae.
GAAUACUCCAUUUGCUCCUUAAAAUAGACACCAUUAUCUGUUGAAUUGGCAGGAGUACAGUGAGAGAAAAAAUAAAUUUUAUCCAUGUUAUUGCUGCCUUUCACUGAUAUGUAGGUCAAAGUGUUCCAAAUAAAACAGAAGAAAACCCUGAGUUCCAGAGCAUUAGACAGAAUUCCCUUUUACAGGCAAAAAGUUGUGGGGGUCCCAAAGCCAUCUAGAUAGGGAGUGCAUUCUACCAGAUACAAAAAUGUGGCAUCUAUGGGGAAAAAAUUUUGGAAAAUAGCUUCUGUGCUCUAUCUAGGAUGUGCUCUUGGCUGGUUUUCUGUUAAUCUGUAUAACAUUCACUCAUUGGGCAAGCAGACAGCCAUGAAUUUUUGCCUUGUAAUGUUUGCAGACAUCCAAGUUGAGGGCAUCUGGAGAGAGGUUCCAUUCAGGAUGCUCAGAAGAAACAGCUCUGCACGCAGGAAGCUGGAGAUCCCAUUUUCUUCUGUUAAUGAGAACAAAGAUACAACUGUAUCUAUUUUCAGUUUCACCUCAAAACCCUCUGAGGAGAUCUACGAAUUCAGCAUGUAGUGAAUUACAGUAAUAUACUGAAAGGGAUUGUUUUUCACGGCUCAAACACAAGACUGAGUUAAGCUGGUUAACGACCUACUAUCCCUCAGUUGAUCAUGGAUAAACAACCAUUUCAUUAACAGCAAGCCAGUGCUUUUUACCUCCUAAUUACUGUAGCUUGAAAGAGCACACAUAGAUCUGUUACUUAUGUCCAACAAGUAUGUGGUAAUAACUUGAUUACAGUGUGGUAAACAUGAGCACCAAGAAUCCUGACAUGGCUAAAAUCAUUCAGGUUUUCCCACUGGAACCUCUCCAUCCCUGAACUGCUGUUCCUGAGCUACUCUGAUCUCCAAGCUAUAGCACACUGCCUGCCUGCUCUUUGCAACCCUGCUGAGGGUAUUUGGGCAUUGUGGCUGUGCUACCACUGAUAAGUUGCAUCUGUCUUGGAUAAAAGUAGAUAUUCUACUGGGCUGGCUUUAUUUGCGCUUCGUAUUUUGAAUCUGAAGUCCAUGCUCCAAGACAUAAAAUUUUCUUGCGCUGAAGUGGUGGUUGCCUGUCAGACCUCCUAAUUUUUCUUUUAUUGAUAGUAAAUUCAUCAUGAGUUCUUCGUUUGCUGCUCAAAGCUGGGCCUUGAAGGGUCUGCAAGAUUAAAUUAAUGAAUGGCUACUGGUAAUUAAAAAGCCAUGUAACGGGUAUGCUUAUUUGUCUUCUAAUAGUAUGCAAAUCUAUGAGAUUAAAAUCGCUUAAGCUAAACAUCUAACACAUUGUAUGAGUUUUACAGAUAGCCGACCAUUUUCUUGGGAUGUUAUAAACAUUUUCUCACAAAACUAAGGACUGCUUCAUGAAAACACCCUAUUUUCUCAUCUAGUUAAUGGAGAGUAUCUGGAUAAAGUUAAGUAGCUCUCAUUUUGAUAUAAUGUACCUAGAGCUGCUCUUGUAGAUCAACUUUCAAGAAAGAACUCAAGUAUAUUUGUAGCCCAACUACAAUUCUCUUUCUUGAGUGCAGUAUGAAGAGGGAAAAAAAUGGUUUACAAAAUAUGCCCCUCUAUAUUUUCCUGCCACUCUUGAUAGCAAGUGUUUUUUACCUCAGGCAUCAAAAAAAGAAAAAAAUAACCUGCAAUGACACAGUCCUUGUGUACAAGUCCCACACAGCAGAUUUCAGAAAGCAAGUACACAUGAAAAAGCAAUAGCAUAUACUAUUAGGCUGUUUAACUGAUGGCUGAUUCGUAAACAUUUGUUUAAUCCUUUCAAAGAUAAUUAAAAAAAAAAAAGCUAUAGAUGAAUUUUAUGAUUGCAGUGGGGUAAUUACAUGUAAAUAAUAAUAUUUUUAAUGAUAGUGACUGUUUUAGAUUUACAGAGUAUAUGUAAAGCAACUCUAAUUUUGUGAGCAAGUUUAUCAUUCAAACAUUGUGACAGUAUUGUAUGUAAAUAUUUACAUCCUUGAGAGCCUCUAAGAUUUGUCUAGUUCCAGAUUCUAUUGAUCUUUAUUCAAAUUUGAAACCAAUCACUUAUGCUAUGCACACUAAUUUCUCUUUCCUAGCUGGAUUCACAAAUACAAGAGAGCUUGAAACAUAGCCCCAUUUUGAAUAGAAUGAAUGCCAGAUCUGGGGAGGGAGAGUAAGGAAGUUCAGUCCUUUGAGUCAAGCAAUGGAUGCGUGGCCAAAUGCCUCAUACUACAAUGAAUGGGAACCAAAUUAGACCCGCAGAGGUUGAUAUAUGGUCAGAGUGCCACAACUUCAUUCCUAUUUCUUACAUUUUUCAUACGGUAUCAAAAAGCCAGAGGGAAGAUUAAUUUUAUUGCUAGGAAUAUACUAGAUGCCAGCACCUAAUCAAGGACAGGGGAACUCAGGUAAAACAACUUCAAACCCAUUGUUACUCAGAUCAUUGCUUCUUAUUGAGGAUGUUUACUCUUCUUUUGAGCAUGUGCAUGCAUUCUAUGUAUGAUAGUGCUAUUUAUGUUCCUACUUUUGAAACCAGUGGGAGUUUUCUUAGUUUGAAGCUUUCUACCAUUUCCAUAGUACUUGUUAAAAAUCAGAGCAGGAAGAUACAGAACAUAAGUUACAACUGAAUUCAAUAAAAAUUUGAUUGGCAUAAAGGUUAUCA